Molecule: ribosomal RNA, 265 nt
Filed under: uncultured archaeon
Lineage: Archaea
Description: partial 16S ribosomal RNA
Rfam family: Archaeal small subunit ribosomal RNA
Source: RNAcentral
AGACGUCUACAUUAGAUACCCGCGUAGUCCCAGCCGUAAACUAUGCGCGUUAGGUGUAUCGGUGACCACGAGUCACCGAGGUGCCGAAGGGAAACCGUGAAACGUGCCGCCUGGGAAGUACGGUCGCAAGGCUGAAACUUAAAGGAAUUGGCGGGGGAGCACCACAACAGGUGGAGCCUGCGGUUUAAUUGGAUUCAACGCCGGACAUCUCACCGGAUAAGACAGCUGAAUGAUUGUCAAUCUGAAGGUUUUACAUGACUAGCUG